AGUGGCUUAGUUAAAAUAUAAUACUGGUCUGUCAGUCCAAAAUUGUGGACAUCAACUCCACAGCCCCUU
RNAcentral lists this transfer RNA (69 nucleotides) under Amphiophiura penichra. RNAcentral describes it as "tRNA-Asp". The record is from RNAcentral. Lineage: Eukaryota; Metazoa; Echinodermata; Ophiuroidea; Amphilepidida; Ophiuridae.